GUGAACAUGAAGACUCUGUGCGACCAACGUUUUGCAUUCCGACGUGUAACAGCCAAGCCAUUUACAUCUUCUACGGAACCAAGGGAUGAUCCGUUAAACUCGGCGCUUCCCGAUAAUCACCGAACCGGGGCAAUCCGCGACAGGCAGAACGUGACGGUCCCAGCCAUCACAGGAACUCUGAUCAUCUUAGCUCCUGUCGUUUUGGCUGUUGCAGGCCUGCUCUGUCGUUUGCGAAAAAGAAAAACAUUGACAAGUAUUAAGGAGUGCAGCUCCAGCGAAAUCGUUCGGAGUGAGAAUGUUUGUUAUAUAGGACAUACCAAUCCUGCCUGCCAAUACAAAGAAUCAUCUCCAGACAUAUUGUGUAUCUAUGAAAAUAUUUAGGUCACAUUCACAUCAAGAGAAGGCCGCUCAUCAUACAACCGAGUAGAUGAAGUCACAGGGAUAGAUGGCAGCCACAC
Molecule: long non-coding RNA, 458 nt
Organism: Lethenteron reissneri (Far Eastern brook lamprey)
Lineage: Eukaryota; Metazoa; Chordata; Hyperoartia; Petromyzontiformes; Petromyzontidae
Source: RefSeq, a predicted model, not a curated record